UAGAAGUUCGUUGAAUGCUUGUUGGAC
This 27-nucleotide non-coding RNA is filed under the name Bombyx mori (domestic silkworm). Lineage: Eukaryota; Metazoa; Arthropoda; Insecta; Lepidoptera; Bombycidae. The record is from RNAcentral.